GAGCCCUGCAGUGAUGUAAACGGGAUCUCAGGUCAAGGCUGGGUUGCGAAAGAGCAGCUACAGCCUUUCAUCUCUCCAUCCAGCUCAUUAGCCGGGAGUUCUCCGGGUCCCAGACACCACCGCUACCCCCUGCAUCCUAAUGACUCUGUUUAGGGAAACAGUCAGUCGAGAUUGCCGAAAUAUGUUAUACAUUCUCUAAAAAUAAAACAUUAGGAAAGAAACCCUAACCCGAGUCACAAUGAGCACCAUACUAUCUUCACCUCCAGUCUCUCAAGAAAGACCAUUGCUGGUGUCUAAGGGGUGCUCGAGACUGCACCGAGUGCCAGCUCUGAUCUUUUAGGCUUGGAUCUAGUUAUGUCUGCUUGCGCACUGAAUAAUGUGGUAUUCAAUCAUCUUUAGAAGUCAUGCCCAUGUUGCUUUACUUGAACAGCUUUGGCUUUGCUACAAACUCUUGCCAUACCCAGAUCCUAACUCCACCAUCCACCAGAGAGGCCUGCUCUUGCUCUCCUCACAAGAACAACAAACUCCAGCUCUCUUUUCUUGCUCUCCUGAUGUCCAGCUUUUCAGUCAGAGGCCCACAAGAUUUAGCUGAAUUUCCUACUUUUACCAUCCAGAGGUCUACAAGCCCCUGCAUCUUGUCAGGAUCUGACUCAUGACAUCAUAAUGACCACAAGCUCCUGAUCUACCCCUGCUCCUGGGUGGAUCCCACUUCAGCCAUCCUGAGGAUCCAAACAGGAGCUCCUCUUCUGUUUGGAUCCUAUUUCACCUCACAUGGCCCUGCCAUUUUGAGACGCACAAGCCCCUAGUCCCUGUCUGAAAUCUACAGGCUCCUAGAUCUCCAAUGCUGAGGUCUUCAAGAUACAUAUUAUUCUGGUGCCCACAAACUUGUACUUCCCUUCAGAAACCUACAAGCUUCAACCCUUCCGCUUCUGAAAUGUACAAGUCCCUGUUCGGUUCCUAUUUCAUGUCCUAUGUUUACCAUCCUGCAGUCUACAAGCUCCUUUCCCAGUUUGGAUCCUAAUUCAGCUCCUAUAACUUCCACCCUGAAGCCUAAAAAUCCCCUGCUUCCAUUUAUAUCCUACUGUACCUCAUAUGUCUAUGCCCACCAUCUUGAGGACUACAAGCUCCUGCUCUUGUUUGGCUUCUAAAUUACCUCCCAAGUCUGCCAUUUUAAGAUCUACAAGCUCUUGCUCAUUUUUGGAUUUCACUUCAGGUACUCUGCCUACCAUCCUGAUGUCUACAAACUCCUGUUCUACGAGCUCUUGCUCCCAGGUGAAUCCUACUUCAACACCUACUGUACGUUUAUGACUACCAUCUUACAUUUACGGCAUUUGGCCGACGUCCUUAUCCAGAGCAACUUGUGUUUAUCUCAUUUAUACAAUUGAGCAGGUUGAGGGGUAAGGCCUUGCUCAAGGGCCCACCAGUGGCAGUUUGGCAGUGUAGAGAUUUGACCUCACAACCUUCCGGUCAGUAGUUCAACAUUUUAACCACUGCCAUCUUAAGAUCUACAAGCUCCUGCUCCCUUUUGGAACCUACUUCACCUCCUAUGCAUACGCCUACCAUCUUGACAUCUACAGGCCGCUACUCCAGUUGGAUCUUACCUCAACUCCCAUCUUGAGGUCAUUCAAGCGCCUACUCACGUUUGGAUCCUACUUCAACUCAUACAUCUUCCAGUAUGAGGUCUACAUGCUCCUGCUCAUGUGUAAUGGACUGCUUCAAUACGAACUAUGUUCAAGAUAGGAGAUUUACAGUAAACGCACAGUACACUUAAUGCCAACAUACCUAGACUCACAUCCUUAUUGCUAGCACUUAACUGAGAAUUCCUAGACUGGUAAAAGAAAGAAAGAAAAAAAACUAACGGAAAAAGUUGGGCUUCCUGCUACACAGUGUUUGAUCUCUAUUCUGUUCUGUAAGCACUUUCUAAAUGCAAGUGCCUCACAUUUACAUUUAUUCAUUUGGCAGAUGCUUUUAUCCAAGCUGAGCAGAUGAAGGGUAAGGUCUUUGCUCAAGGGUCCAGGAGCAGAUUGACAUUAGGGUAAUUUAAACUAAUAACCUUUAGAUCAGCAUUCCAGAGCCUGAACCACCGACACACCACCAGUGCCUUAAAGCAUCCACAAUAUACGCAAAGGUGAUCUUGAGGAAUCGUCGCUGCCUCGGAGCUAAACGCAUAGAAAUACACCUUGAUGUCAGCAGAAACAUGCUCGAUAGUGUAAAGGAUGGUGAAAAGCAGACAAACAAAUCUCAUUUGUCGAUUAUCAGACCAUUUACUAGCCCGGAGCGCUCGGCUCAAUCUAAAUCUUAACAAUGGCUUUUCACAAUUCGGUGUGGCGGAAAGC
Molecule: long non-coding RNA, 2336 nt
Organism: Ictalurus punctatus (channel catfish)
Lineage: Eukaryota; Metazoa; Chordata; Actinopteri; Siluriformes; Ictaluridae
Source: Ensembl